UACGACUCUCGGCAACGGAUAUCUCGGCUCUCGCCACGAUGAAGAACGUAGCGAAAUGCGAUACCUAGUGUGAAUUGCAGAAUCCCGUGAAUCAUCGAGUCUUUGAACGCAAGUUGCGCCCGAGGCCUCGGCCAAGGGCACGUCUGCUUGGGCGUCGCAUUGGACCAAGCGCCCCUUGCCCGCGCCCGGGCACUGGAGCGGAGCUGGCCGUCCGCGCCCCCCGUGGCUCGGUUGGCUAAAACGGUUUUCGGAUGCCCGUCGUCUCGCGCCGGUGAGCGGUCGUUUGGCCGCCUCCGGGCGGCAGGCCCGCGUGCGCCGGUGCGAGAAGCAGGCGGCGUUCCCUUCGCAGCCCCUCUGCCCGUCGUGCCGCGGCUCUCGGGCGGCGGACCACGGCGGGGCCCGUUGCGCGCGACCCC
This 416-nucleotide ribosomal RNA is filed under the name Macrozamia moorei. Its description in RNAcentral is "eukaryotic LSU rRNA". The stretch from base 4 to 157 matches the Rfam family "5.8S ribosomal RNA". Lineage: Eukaryota; Viridiplantae; Streptophyta; Cycadopsida; Cycadales; Zamiaceae. The record is from RNAcentral.